AGUGAACGCUGGCGGCAGGCCUAACACAUGCAAGUCGAACGGCAGCACAAGAGAGCUUGCUCUCUGGGGGGCGAGUGGCGGACGGGUGAGGAAUGCAUCGGAAUCUGCCCAUUUGUGGGGGAUAACCUCGGGAAACCGGGACUAAUACCGCAUACGACCUACGGGUGAAAGCAGGGGAUCUUCGGACCUUGCGCAGAUGGAUGAGCCGAUGCCGGAUUAGCUAGUUGGAGGGGUAAAGGCCCACCAAGGCGACGAGCCGUAGCUGGUCUGAGAGGAUGAUCAGCCACACUGGAACUGGGACACGGCCCAUACUCCUACGGGAGGCAGCAGUGGGGAAUGUUGGACAAUGGGCGCAAGCCUGAUCCAGCCAUGCCGCGUGUGUGAAGACGGCCUUCGGGUUGUAAAGCACUUUUGUUGGGAAAGAAAAGCAGCCGGUUAAUACCCGGUUGUCAUGACGGUACCCAAAGAAUAAGCACCGGCUAACUUCGUG
This 490-nucleotide ribosomal RNA is filed under the name uncultured bacterium. RNAcentral describes it as "partial 16S ribosomal RNA". It matches the Rfam family "Bacterial small subunit ribosomal RNA", at positions 29 to 507 of the family's 1533-position model. The record is from RNAcentral.